AUAAGUUGGCUUGGGAUAUUGACAAAGACCAAAAAUGAUUAAGGCUUCUCCUGGUCCUCUUUCUUGCUUCUACUAUACAGACAUGGAUGUUUAGGGAAGAAAGAUUUUACUACUCAGUCGGUCCUCUUGAAAGCAAGAAUAUCUUGGUGGAAUUUGAGGCCAGAUAUCAAAUCCUUCAAUGUGCUAGUUUGCAUUUUAACCUCUGAGUUGCCUGCUGGGAUGUGGCUGUGCAGGAAUCGUCUCACAUCAGCUAACUGGUGGCUUUGUCUUUCCCCAGUGCCAGAGUAGGCUGCUUUUCCACACCAUUAAAGAGCUAUACAGGAACCCACAGAGGAGGAACUCAGGCUAGACAAGGUUUGUCUUAAAUGCAUUCUUUUCUAAACUAUUUA
RNAcentral lists this long non-coding RNA (389 nucleotides) under Rattus norvegicus (Norway rat). Its description in RNAcentral is "long non-coding RNA NONRATT033685". The record is from RNAcentral. Lineage: Eukaryota; Metazoa; Chordata; Mammalia; Rodentia; Muridae.